UACGAAGGGUGCAAGCGUUACUCGGAAUUACUGGGCGUAAAGCGUACGUAGGUGGUGAGUUAAGUCUGAUGUGAAAUCCCCGGGCUCAACCUGGGAAUGGCAUUGGAUACUGGCUCGCUAGAGUGCGGUAGAGGGUGGUGGAAUUCCCGGUGUAGCAGUGAAAUGCGUAGAGAUCGGGAGGAACAUCUGUGGCGAAGGCGGCCACCUGGACCAACACUGACACUGAGGCACGAAAGCGUGGGGAGCAAACAGG
Molecule: ribosomal RNA, 253 nt
Filed under: uncultured bacterium
Lineage: Bacteria
Description: partial 16S ribosomal RNA
Rfam family: Bacterial small subunit ribosomal RNA
Source: RNAcentral